GUGUCAGCCGCCGCGGUAAGACGGAGGUGGCAAACGUUGCUCGGAAUUACUGGGCUUAAAGGGCGUGUAGGCGGUCGAUUAAGUCGGGUGUGAAAAACCUCGGCCUAACCGAGGAAUUGCAUUCGAUACUGAUCGGCUAGAGUGCGAGAGGGGCAAGUGGAACUCCAGGUGUAGCGGUGAAAUGCGUAGAUAUCUGGAGGAACGCCGGUGGCGAAAGCGACUUGCUGGCUCGUAACUGACGCUGAGGCGCGAAAGCCAGGGGAGCAAACGGGAUUAGAAACCCUGGUAGUCC
This 292-nucleotide ribosomal RNA is filed under the name uncultured bacterium. RNAcentral's name for it is "partial 16S ribosomal RNA". It matches the Rfam family "Bacterial small subunit ribosomal RNA", at positions 505 to 796 of the family's 1533-position model. The record is from RNAcentral.